UACGGGGGGGGCAAGCGUUGUUCGGAAUUACUGGGCGUAAAGGGCGCGUAGGCGGCCUUCUAAGUCGGACGUGAAAUCCCUCGGCUUAACCGAGGAACUGCGUCUGAUACUGAAAGGCUUGAAUCCGGGAGAGGGAUGUGGAAUUCCAGGUGUAGCGGUGAAAUGCGUAGAUAUCUGGAGGAACACCGGUGGCGAAGGCGGCAUCCUGGACCGGUAUUGACGCUGAGGUGCGAAAGCUAGGGGAGCAAACGGG
Molecule: ribosomal RNA, 253 nt
Filed under: uncultured bacterium
Lineage: Bacteria
Description: partial 16S ribosomal RNA
Rfam family: Bacterial small subunit ribosomal RNA
Source: RNAcentral